CGUAUGGUUAGUAGCGGCUGCGCCCGCGCCCCCCCGCGGUAGGCCUAUUGCUAAUAAACCAGUGUGCAAAUAGCUACGGUGCGUUUCACUCGUGUCCUCAUAUACAUACCAAUUGGCGGCGAUGGCUGGUACUUUUGGGUUAAUUUCGGUUUUUAAUCAUGAAACACAGGAGUGGAGAACCUACAAGAAUCGGCUGACUCAGUGGUUCAUAGCCAACGAUAUUAAUGACGAGACAGAUAAAGCGGAAGUGAAACGUCGUGCUAUCUUGAUAAGCGCACUCGCCGAAUCUACCUACCGGCUGGCAAGUAAUUUAGCAUUACCGGCUACAUUAGAAGAAAAAGGAUUUUCGGAUGUAGUGAAGAUUUUGGACGCACAUUUCACACCAAAACGCUGCGGGUACGUGGAGCGAUUCCAUUUUUAUUCGGCCACCCAGCAAGCGGGCGAAGGUCACGUGCAAUGGGCUGCGCGUCUGAAGGGCCUCGCCGCGCACUGCGAUUUUAAAAAUAUGGAAGACGCUAUUCUCGAUAAGUUUGUAAUGGGUAUGCUCCCCGGCCGAGAGCGUGAAAAGUUAUUCGCGCAAAAUGUCGGUGAGCUCACAUUGACUAAGGCGAUAGACUUGGCGGAGAGUAUCAGAGUUGCUCGCACCGGUGGCGCUGCCACCGCCCCAGCUGGAGCCCUGGUGGCUACGGAAGCCAGCAGCCUGUUCCAGAUUGAAAAAGCAUCUGCGCGCUCGUCCGCAUCGUCGUCUAACGUCCAGUGUUCGGUGUGUGGUAGAUACAAACAUAGUGCUACAAAGUGUCGUUUUAGAAAUUAUAAGUGCAGAAAGUGCCAAACAAAAGGCCAUUUAAGUAACAUGUGCAAGGCGGUAAAAUAUAUCGAGUCGGAGGAGGUGAACGAAAGUGAUGACGGUGAGUUUUUUCAUAUUCGUUCGGAAGGUGGGGCACCUAUGGUCGAAACUAUAAAGGUAAACAACAUUUCGAUUAAGUUCCAGAUAGACAGUGGGGCGGCAGUCUCGGCUAUCUCAGACGAAGCUUAUAAAUUUUAUUUUAGCGACGUGCCAUUGUUACCCCCAAAGAAAAAGCUAUUCGGCUACACGCGACAGACAUUCGAUAUUACGGGCGUAAUUAAUGUACCGAUAUUCUAUGACGGCCGCGAAAUCUAUUUGGACAUUUAUGUGAUUCCAGACGGUGGACCACCGCUCCUAGGUCGCGAUUUUAUCUCGAAAUUCCACCUAGAAUUAGCACGAAUUUCCCCCGUACCAAUCAAUUAUUGUACCGAUACAGAUAUGGUACAACAAACCCUAUCUGACUAUAAGGAUAUUUUUGUAGACCGCCUGGGCUGCUUUAAUAAAUACAAGAUAAAUUUAAACUUAAAAGAAAACGCACAACCAGUAUUUAUUAAAGCUCGCCCAAUUGCAUUUGCGCUUAAGAGUAAAGUGGAGAACGAAAUUGAUCGAUUAGUGGGCUUAGGUAUUUUGGAACCCGUGGAAUAUUCAGAGUUUGCUUCGCCUAUUGUACCCGUGUUAAAACGUGACGGCUCCGUGCGCAUCUGUGCGGACUACUCGCGCACUAUCAAUAAACAGCUGAUUGUGGAGACCUAUCCGCUCCCAACGGUAGAUGAAUUAUUCGCGAAACUACACGGCGGAGUUCAAUUUUCGAAGUUAGAUAUGUCUAUGGCCUACAAUCAGUUUCCCAUAAAUGAUCCCAAUAACAUAACAUGCAUAAAUACCACCCGCGGAUUAUUUAAGUAUAAAAGAUUAAUUUUUGGGUUAACAAGUUCUCCGGCUAUUUUUCAACGCGCCUUAAAUACGUUGUUAGCAGGAAUGGAUGGCGUAUUAUGCUUUUUGGAUGACGUGUUGAUAACGGGGCGGGACAAGACAGAGCACCUGCAAAGAUUGAAUAAUGUACUUGCGAGGUUCAAGGACGCCGGCUUAACGCUACAAAGAAACAAAUGCGAAUUCUUUAAAGAUGAGAUAUCGUAUUUAGGUCAUGUAAUAAAUAAACAAGGUAUUUCAAAAUCGCAAGAAAAGGUAGCUGCAAUUAGUAAGGCACCGCGACCUGACAAUGUAGCACAAUUACAGUCCUUUUUAGGUCUAGUUAAUUAUUAUCGUAACUUUGUACCUGACGCAUCUAGCAUUUUAAGCCCUCUAUAUGACCUAAUAAGGAAAAAUGUUAAUGGUCGUGGACGCCGAUUCAUCAAAAUGCAUUCGAGACAAUUAAGCGGCAGUUGUCCUCCGAUCAGGUUUUAGCGCAUUUUGACCCAUCGGCUAAAAUAAUUGUAACAGCUGACGCGUCACCAGUCGGCCUGGGAUGUCUGUUAUCUCAGGUAGGUAUUGAUGGAAUUGAACGGCCCGUUUCCUUUGCAUCGCGAGUCUUACGGGAUGCCGAAAAAAACUAUUCCCAAAUUCAACGGGAAGCAACGGGAAUAAUUUUUGCAAUUAAAAGGUUUCAUCAUUAUCUUUAUGGUAGAUCGCAGCCAUUUGUUCUCCGAACAGACCACAAACCGUUACUUUCUAUAUUUGGGCCUCAAAAAGGUAUUCCGGAGGUCACGGCAAAUCGUCUACAGAGGUACGCAAUCUUCUUAUCGGCAUACAAUUAUGUUAUUGAGUACGUACGAAGUGAGAAUAAUAGUGCAGAUUAUCUCUCGCGCGCGCCGCUUACACUUGACAACAGCGCCUCGUCGCCGGGGCGUGACGUCACCACAGCUCAAGAGUUCGAUGACCGCGCGGCGUCUAUAAACUUCGUAGUAGAUGGAUGCUUACCUUUAACAGUUGAAGAUUUGCGUCGCGAAACGUUAAAAGAUAUUCAGCUGCAUAAAGUAUGUGACUUUGUUAGGAAGGGUUGGCCGAAAAAAGUUAGUGAUAACCAAUUAAAACCGUAUCAUUUGUGCAGAAACGAAUUAUCAGUCGAGAACGGCUGCUUAAUGAGAGGGCACAAAAUUGUUAUACCGCUAGCGCUCAGGGAACAAGUUUUGCAGGAAGUUCAUAGUUCACAUCUAGGAAUAGUUAAAUGCAAAUCGGAAAUUCGUUCGAAAUUUUGGUUUCCUGGUGUGGACCAAGCAAUUGAGAGAAUCAUCGGCGCUUGCAACGAAUGUAUUCAGCUACGUCCUUCUCCUCCGCGGGUAACAGUAGUGCCAUGGCCGUAUCCUGAGUACGCGUUUCAAAGGUUGCAUAUCGACUUUCUCGGCCCAAUAAAUAACCACUCAUAUUUCGUUAUAGUUGAUGCUUACAGUAAAUGGGUCGAGUGCUUCGAUAUGAAAUCAAACACAACGACGCAUAGUGUUAUUGAAAAACUCUGCGAAGUUAUAUCUCGAUUCGGGACCCCGCAAUGUAUAGUGAGUGACAAUGGCACGGCGUUUACGUCAGACGAUUUUAAACAAUUCUGUUCGCUAAACAAAAUAACACAUUUAACGAGCGCGCCGUACCACCCCCCUAGCAACGGCCAAGCAGAAUCGUAUGUGAGAGUAAUUAAAAAAGGUAUAAAAUCUGUACUUAUGUCAAAUAUUUCCAAUGCUAAAAUUAACUGUAAAUUAAUGAAGUAUUUAUUCGACUAUAGGAAUUCUAUUCAUUCGACCACUGGUACUUCACCAGCGCAGUUAGUUUUUGGUAAAAAGUUGAAGUCCAGGUUAGACUUAUUAACCAAUGUAAACUCACCGCCGUCUUCGUCCACCAACUUCGCCUCGUCGGUUAAAGAUAAACAGUCCUCACAGGUUAAUUACCACGGUGGCGUUGAAAGAACCGGUUUUAAUAUCGAGGACCAGAUAUUAUAUAAGAAAUACGUUAAUAAAAACAAAUUCUACUGGAUAAGAGGAAAAAUAACGAAAAAACUAGGACAACGCUUGUAUUUAAUA
Molecule: RNA transcript, 3849 nt
Organism: Cydia strobilella
Lineage: Eukaryota; Metazoa; Arthropoda; Insecta; Lepidoptera; Tortricidae
Exons: 2
Source: RefSeq, a predicted model, not a curated record